This 943-nucleotide ribosomal RNA is filed under the name Salmonella enterica subsp. enterica serovar Derby. Its description in RNAcentral is "partial 23S ribosomal RNA". It matches the Rfam family "Bacterial large subunit ribosomal RNA", at positions 1216 to 2141 of the family's 2925-position model. Lineage: Bacteria; Pseudomonadati; Pseudomonadota; Gammaproteobacteria; Enterobacterales; Enterobacteriaceae. The record is from RNAcentral.
UACGUUCGUUGGGUAGGGGAGCGUUCUGUAAGCCUGUGAAGGUGGCCUGUGAGGGUUGCUGGAGGUAUCAGAAGUGCGAAUGCUGACAUAAGUAACGAUAAAGCGGGUGAAAAGCCCGCUCGCCGGAAGACCAAGGGUUCCUGUCCAACGUUAAUCGGGGCAGGGUGAGUCGACCCCUAAGGCGAGGCCGAAAGGCGUAGUCGAUGGGAAACGGGUUAAUAUUCCCGUACUUGGUGUUACUGCGAAGGGGGGACGGAGAAGGCUAUGUUGGCCGGGCGACGGUUGUCCCGGUUUAAGCGUGUAGGUGUGUGUUCCAGGUAAAUCCGGUUCACUUUAACACUGAGGCGUGAUGACGAGGCACUACGGUGCUGAAGCAACAAAUGCCCUGCUUCCAGGAAAAGCCUCUAAGCAUCAGGUAACAUCAAAUCGUACCCCAAACCGACACAGGUGGUCAGGUAGAGAAUACCAAGGCGCUUGAGAGAACUCGGGUGAAGGAACUAGGCAAAAUGGUGCCGUAACUUCGGGAGAAGGCACGCUGACAUGUAGGUGAAGUGAUUUACUCAUGGAGCUGAAGUCAGUCGAAGAUACCAGCUGGCUGCAACUGUUUAUUAAAAACACAGCACUGUGCAAACACGAAAGUGGACGUAUACGGUGUGACGCCUGCCCGGUGCCGGAAGGUUAAUUGAUGGGGUCAGCGCAAGCGAAGCUCCUGAUCGAAGCCCCGGUAAACGGCGGCCGUAACUAUAACGGUCCUAAGGUAGCGAAAUUCCUUGUCGGGUAAGUUCCGACCUGCACGAAUGGCGUAAUGAUGGCCAGGCUGUCUCCACCCGAGACUCAGUGAAAUUGAACUCGCUGUGAAGAUGCAGUGUACCCGCGGCAAGACGGAAAGACCCCGUGAACCUUUACUAUAGCUUGACACUGAACAUUGAGCCUUGAUGUGUAG